UUAGAUUAUCUGGGGUGCCCUAUGGCUGAGAUAUACCCACCGAACCUGCUCAUGAUAAUGCAUGCGAAGGGAGAUAUAACAUUGUUUAG
Non-coding RNA from Leuconostoc pseudomesenteroides PS12, 89 nucleotides. The record is from Rfam. NCBI's taxonomy places the organism in Bacteria, Bacillati, Bacillota, Bacilli, Lactobacillales, Lactobacillaceae.